AUUGAACGCUGGCGGCAUGCCUUACACAUGCAAGUCGAACGGCAGCACGGGUGCUUGCACCUGGUGGCGAGUGGCGAACGGGUGAGUAAUACAUCGGAACGUACCUUAUCGUGGGGGAUAACGCAGCGAAAGCUGUGCUAAUACCGCAUACGCCCUGAGGGGGAAAGCGGGGGAUCGAAAGACCUCGCGCGAUUAGAGCGGCCGAUGCCUGAUUAGCUUGUUGGUGGGGUAAAAGGCCACCAAGGCGACGAUCAGUAGCUGGUCUGAGAGGACGAUCAGCCAAACUGGGACUGGGACACGGCCCAGACUCCUACGGGAGGCAGCAGUGGGGAAUUUUGGACAAUGGGGGCAACCCUGAUCCAGCAAUGCCGCGUGAGUGAAGAAGGCCUUCGGGUUGUAAAGCUCUUUUGUCAGGGAAGAAACACCGGCUCUAACACAGUCCGGGAAUGACGGUACCUGAAGAAUAAGCACCGGCUAACUACGUGCCAGCCGCCCGCAGUAA
RNAcentral lists this ribosomal RNA (502 nucleotides) under uncultured bacterium. RNAcentral describes it as "partial 16S ribosomal RNA". It matches the Rfam family "Bacterial small subunit ribosomal RNA", at positions 29 to 523 of the family's 1533-position model. The record is from RNAcentral.